Molecule: long non-coding RNA, 523 nt
Filed under: Homo sapiens (human)
Lineage: Eukaryota; Metazoa; Chordata; Mammalia; Primates; Hominidae
Description: lncAB161.1
Source: RNAcentral
UCAGUUAACAGAACAACAAUUAUUUCGUAUAAGCUGCAUCAGAGACAACUGAAGAUGAAAAAACUACCAUCCCCAUAUAUAACUAAUUUGUGCUGUGCACCAACAAGAACCUGCUUUAAAUUUCCAUGCCAAUUUACAACCCCCAUACUGUACCAGGCAAGGUUAGUGGCUAUUGAAAAUACCACCAGGACAGGGCUAUCUAAAGACACAUUCGGUAGUGUGUUAACUAUACAAAAAAAGACACUGUACAGUUUAAAAACAAAUCUUACACAGCCUUACAUUUCAAUUUUUUUCUUUAAAAGGAGUGAGUUGUGUACAGGGGGGUUAAAUGCUUUAUAGACAAGAAAAAAAAAACUGCGCUAGAACCAACUUAUUCAUCAUCAUCAUCUUCUUCUUCAUCUUCAUCUUCUUCAUCUUCCUCCUCCUCCUCAUCCUCUUCAUCUUCCUCAUCUUCCUCCUCUUCCUUCUUUUUCUUGCUUUUUUCAGCCUUGACAACUCCCUUUUUUGCUGCAUCAGGCUUUCC